Molecule: ribosomal RNA, 486 nt
Filed under: Flavobacterium johnsoniae
Lineage: Bacteria; Pseudomonadati; Bacteroidota; Flavobacteriia; Flavobacteriales; Flavobacteriaceae
Description: bacterial SSU rRNA
Rfam family: Bacterial small subunit ribosomal RNA
Source: RNAcentral
AUCCAGCCAUGCCGCGUGCAGGAUGACGGUCCUAUGGAUUGUAAACUGCUUUUAUACGAGAAGAAACACUCCUUCGUGAAGGAGCUUGACGGUAUCGUAAGAAUAAGGAUCGGCUAACUCCGUGCCAGCAGCCGCGGUAAUACGGAGGAUCCAAGCGUUAUCCGGAAUCAUUGGGUUUAAAGGGUCCGUAGGCGGUUUAAUAAGUCAGUGGUGAAAGCCCAUCGCUCAACGGUGGAACGGCCAUUGAUACUGUUAGACUUGAAUUAUUAGGAAGUAACUAGAAUAUGUAGUGUAGCGGUGAAAUGCUUAGAGAUUACAUGGAAUACCAAUUGCGAAGGCAGGUUACUACUAAUUGAUUGACGCUGAUGGACGAAAGCGUGGGUAGCGAACAGGAUUAGAUACCCUGGUAGUCCACGCCGUAAACGAUGGAUACUAGCUGUUGGAAGCAAUUUCAGUGGCUAAGCGAAAGUGAUAAGUAUCCCACCU